Molecule: long non-coding RNA, 1222 nt
Organism: Epinephelus fuscoguttatus (brown-marbled grouper)
Lineage: Eukaryota; Metazoa; Chordata; Actinopteri; Perciformes; Serranidae
Exons: 3
Source: RefSeq, a predicted model, not a curated record
GCGGCCGCAGGCCACAUGUGGCCCAGAAGCAACCUCUGAGUGGCCUGGGCAGGGAUUGGUACUGAGACCCGGUAUUAAGCGGCCCGGGGCAAAUUUAAUCGAGACCGCAGUAAUAAUAAUAAGCUCCGCUGCUGCAGGCUCUUAUCGUUACUUUUUAAAGAUUCAAUUUCGUGUAUCAUCAUGCUGCAGCCUCUCUCGUGGUAUGCGUGUCAGGGCUGACCUCCUCCUCACAGCACACACACUUAGACACACACACAGGGAGACACAAACACAACAGAGUGAAGUCAGACAACAGCAGAGAAGCCGUGGUGCAGCCAAAGGGAAUAUAACUGUGUGUGUGUGUGUAUAUACACGCUAAAAAAAAAAAAGUGGACAGGUUGCUCGCUGCAGAAAAUGUGGCCCAUCGACAUUUUCUGGCUUAAAAAUCCGGCCCAGUUAAAUGUGUAAUUGAAUAGCCCUGCUGAGAAAUACUGAGCACUCUGUAGCACUACGUCUCAGUGAAAGGGCGAAGCUGAAGACUUUGAAGCCCUUUCUACCAAGUAAGUACAACUUUUCUACUGUAACAGUGCUGAAUCUUUAUUUUAUUAAGUAAUUCUCGAUAUUAAACUCCUUGUAGUUUAUUUUUUAUCAUGUGGGAUACAGCCUUUUUUAACGGUUAAGGACGAGUUGAUUUAUCAAAAAUACGAAGUUUAUAAAUUAGUAAUGAAAGUAAUCAUUAUACACACUUUGCUAAUGCUUUGUGAGAGCAUUGUGUUUGCGUUCCAGAGCCAGCUGAAGUUCAGGAAAAAGGAUCAAUGAGCAUGAGGUCGAUGAGCAACACAGACGAGCAGCUUUAGCACCAUCUAAAGUCUGGUGCUCCCUGUUUGCAGUCAGUGUUGAGGAAGGAGUCUCUAUGACCUGCAAAGACACACCCCUCCGUCAGCGCAGUCACAUGGAGGUGUUGCAGUGGCUGCUGGGAAAACAGGGUGGUGUAUGGAGGAAGAGGAGGACAACGACAUGGAGGAGGAGGUGGUUGGAGGAGGAGGUGGUUGGAUUUAGGAUGGAUGGAGAGGAAUGCAGCACAACACAAGAGAGAACAUAGAAACAAAAAAAAAAAAUAAACGUCUGAGCUCCUGUAAAUACUCACUCUGAUCCUGAUGAGUCACCAUCCACCGUCCCCGCCUUGAUGCUCAUGGCGACACCGUUCAGCUGAUCUGGCGGGCCGAGUUUAGCCGGGCCGGCU